GACGAACGCUGGCGGCGUGCUUAACACAUGCAAGUCGAACGGAAAGGCCCUGCUUUCGUGGUGUGCUCGAGUGGCGAACGGGUGAGUAACACGUGAGUAACCUGCUCUUGUCUUUGGUAUAACUUCAGGAAACUGGGGCUAAUACCGGAUAGCAUCUCCUGCUGCAUGGUGGGGGUUGGAAAGUUUCGGCGGUUGGGGAUGGACUCGCGGCUUAUCAGCUUGUUGGUGGGGUAGUGGCUUACCAAGGCUUUGACGGGUAGCCGGCCUGAGAGGGUGACCGGCCACAUUGGGACUGAGAGACGGCCCAGACGCCUACGGGAGGCAGCAGUGGGGAAUAUUGCACAAUGGGCGGAAGCCUGAGGCAGCAACGCCGCGUGCGGGAUGACGGCCUUCGGGUUGUAAACCGCUUUCGCCUGUGACGAAGCGGGAGUGACGGUAAUGGGUGAAGAAGCACCGGCUAACUACGUG
This 468-nucleotide ribosomal RNA is filed under the name uncultured bacterium. Its description in RNAcentral is "partial 16S ribosomal RNA". It matches the Rfam family "Bacterial small subunit ribosomal RNA", at positions 28 to 507 of the family's 1533-position model. The record is from RNAcentral.